CUAGCGACUCAGAGUUUGAUCCUGGUUCAGGAUGAACGCUGGCGGCAUGCCUAAGACAUGCAAGUCGAACGAAGUGGCCCAUUGAAGAUGAAGUGCUUGCACUGAUUUGGAUUUGGAUUCCCACUUAGUGGCAGACGGGUGAGUAACACGUGGGUAACCUACCCCUUAGUCUGGGACAACUAUUGGAAACGAUAGCUAAUACCGGAUGAUUCGUAGAAGGAUAACCUUCUAUGCUAAAAGGAGCUUCGGCUUCGCUUUGGGAUGGGCUUGCGGUGUAUUAGCUAGUUGGUAGGGUAAUGGCCUACCAAGGCAACGAUGCAUAUCCGAGCUGAGAGGCUGAUCGGGCACAUUGGAACUGAGAUACGGUCCAA
RNAcentral lists this ribosomal RNA (371 nucleotides) under uncultured bacterium. Its description in RNAcentral is "bacterial SSU rRNA". It matches the Rfam family "Bacterial small subunit ribosomal RNA", at positions 1 to 334 of the family's 1533-position model. The record is from RNAcentral.